Molecule: ribosomal RNA, 520 nt
Filed under: Staphylococcus sp. ADB_BD133
Lineage: Bacteria; Bacillati; Bacillota; Bacilli; Caryophanales; Staphylococcaceae
Description: bacterial SSU rRNA
Rfam family: Bacterial small subunit ribosomal RNA
Source: RNAcentral
UCUAAAGUGAAAGAUGGUUUUGCUAUCACUUAUAGAUGGACCCGCGCCGUAUUAGCUAGUUGGUAAGGUAACGGCUUACCAAGGCAACGAUACGCAGCCGACCUGAGAGGGUGAGCGCCGACACUGGAACUGAGACACGGUCCAGACUCCUACGGGAGGCAGCAGUAGGGAAUCUUCCGCAAUGGGCGAAAGCCUGACGGAGCAACGCCGCGUGAGUGAUGAAGGGUUUCGGCUCGUAAAACUCUGUUAUGAGGGAAGAACAAACGUGUAAGUAACUGUGCACGUCUUGACGGUACCUAAUCAGAAAGCCACGGCUAACUACGUGCCAGCAGCCGCGGUAAUACGUAGGUGGCAAGCGUUAUCCGGAAUUAUUGGGCGUAAAGCGCGCGUAGGCGGUUUCUUAAGUCUGAUGUGAAAGCCCACGGCUCAACCGUGGAGGGUCAUUGGAAACUGGGAAACUUGAGUGCAGAAGAGGAAAGUGGAAUUCCAUGUGUAGCGGGUGAAAUGCGCAGGAGAUAUG